Molecule: ribosomal RNA, 190 nt
Filed under: Microbacterium sp.
Lineage: Bacteria; Bacillati; Actinomycetota; Actinomycetes; Micrococcales; Microbacteriaceae
Description: partial 23S ribosomal RNA
Rfam family: Bacterial large subunit ribosomal RNA
Source: RNAcentral
GCUGAUUAGCUACGUUCGGAUCGGAUAACCGCUGAAAGCAUCUAAGCGGGAAGCCGUUCUCGAGAUGAGACUUCCAUCCCUUCGGGGGAGAGGCUCCCAGCCAGACGACUGGGUUGAUAGGCAGGACGUGGAAGUGGGGACUAAAGACCCAUGCAGCUGACCUGUACUAAUAAGCCGACAACUUGAUUGC